UACAGAGGUGGCAAGCGUUGUUCGGAAUUACUGGGCGUAAAGGGCGCGUAGGCGGCUGUCUAAGUCGGACGUGAAAUCCCCCGGCUCAACCUGGGAAUUGCGUCCGAUACUGGGCGGCUCGAGUGCGGGAGAGGGAUGUGGAAGUCCAGGUGUAGCGGUGAAAUGCGUAGAUAUCUGGAGGAACACCGGUGGCGAAGGCGGCAUCCUGGACCGACACUGACGCUGAGGCGCGAAAGCUAGGGUAGCAAACAGG
Molecule: ribosomal RNA, 253 nt
Filed under: uncultured bacterium
Lineage: Bacteria
Description: partial 16S ribosomal RNA
Rfam family: Bacterial small subunit ribosomal RNA
Source: RNAcentral